AUGCCGUCCAGACUGCUGGCUGUGUUGUGCACAGUGGCGGCCUUCAUCCACCUUGGUUCCAGCAAUACGGACAAGGUCCGUCAAUCUCAGAGUGCUGUGUCUGCCGAGGAGGGAAAGUCUGUGACCUUGGACUGCAGCUUCACGCUCAACUUUAACUACUAUGUGAUGAACUGGUAUCACCAGCCUCCCCAUGGAAAGAUGACUGGAAUCAUUAGUAUGUUCUCUGAUACGAGCAGCAAUAGGGAAGGACGAUAUAAACUGUCGUUUCAGAAAGGAAACAAAAUCCUAAAGCUCACCAUCACAGGCUUGAUGCCUGAAGACACAGGCAUCUAUUUCUGUGCUAUUGGAGAAAGUACACGGUGA
Molecule: non-coding RNA, 363 nt
Organism: Leptonychotes weddellii (Weddell seal)
Lineage: Eukaryota; Metazoa; Chordata; Mammalia; Carnivora; Phocidae
Source: the annotation of a RefSeq genome assembly